Molecule: ribosomal RNA, 572 nt
Filed under: uncultured Glomeromycotina
Lineage: Eukaryota; Fungi; Glomeromycota
Description: SSU rRNA
Rfam family: Eukaryotic small subunit ribosomal RNA
Source: RNAcentral
UUGGAGGGCAAGUCUGGUGCCAGCAGCCGCGGUAAUUCCAGCUCCAAUAGCGUAUAUUAAAGUUGUUGCAGUUAAAAAGCUCGUAGUUGUAUUUCGGGAUUGACGUAAUGGUCGUGCCUUAAAGGGUAUGAACUGUUACUGUUGAUUUCUCACCUUCUGGAGAAACUUGAUGUCCUUAAUUGGGUGUCUUGCGGAUCCAGGACCUUUACCUUGAAAAAAUUAGAGUGUUUAAAGCAGGCAUUUUUGCUCGAAUACAUUAGCAUGGAAUAAUAGAAUAGGACGGCAUGGUUCUAUUUUGUUGGUUUCUAGGAUCACCGUAAUGAUUAAUAGGGGUAGUUGGGGGCAUUAGUAUUCAAUUGUCAGAGGUGAAAUUCUUGGAUUUACUGAAGACUAACUACUGCGAAAGCAUUUGCCAAGGAUGUUUUCAUUAAUCAAGAACGAAAGUUAGGGGAUCGAAGACGAUCAGAUACCGUCGUAGUCUUAACCAUAAACUAUGCCGACUAGGAAUCAGACGAUGUUAAUUUUUCUAAUGACUCGUUUGGCACCUUACGGAAACCAAAGUGUUUGGGUUC